Molecule: long non-coding RNA, 742 nt
Organism: Bubalus bubalis (water buffalo)
Lineage: Eukaryota; Metazoa; Chordata; Mammalia; Artiodactyla; Bovidae
Exons: 3
Source: RefSeq, a predicted model, not a curated record
ACGAGCGCCCCAUGCGGAAGCAGGGCCCGGCGCGCGCGCGCCUGCCCACCCGCCUCGGGUCCUGUCUCGCUCCCCUUCCCUCAGACCCCACACGGCUGUUGGCUUCUUGUAAACUUUAAUCCUCUGACUCCAAUCUGGACCAAGAAACUGCUGUCCUGGGAUGUCCCUCCACUGCUCUGCUGAACUGGAUCAUCUCUUUUUAAAUCCCUCAUUUCACCUGUACUGGGCCUUCGAUCAGGACACGGGACCAGCUGGACGAGCAGCAAAUGGAGAUGAGGACAACCGGAAGCAGCAGCAGCUAACCUCCUCCUUCACGUGGGAAACAAACGCAGGCUGAAAAGCCACCUGCCCAGGGCGACUUGGCAAGGAAGGGCAGAGCGGAGACGUGACUCCCUGCUGACUCCAGAAGCUGCCCUCUCACUCACCCUUCUGCCCCCACUGCCUGGAAGGGAGCUUCAUCAAGCUAUUUCAUCUAAGGAGUAGCUUUCAGCAAUGAGGGUGAAAAGGGAAAAGAGGCAGCUUGGACAUGGACAUGAAACAUCUGAACAGGGGACAAGCCCCCCAGCAGGUAUGAGGAGAAACAGACCAGUGCCUCCAAUGUUCAGGUCACAACCCAGCAGUGGAGUCACGUCACUAACUCUGACAGGAUGCAACCAACACGUUUCUUUAAAAGAUAAAGAAACAGAAUAUAAAAUACUAGUAUAUACUGCCUGUAGAAAAGAUAAAUUACUGUUUCAUCGAA